Molecule: long non-coding RNA, 1557 nt
Organism: Pan troglodytes (chimpanzee)
Lineage: Eukaryota; Metazoa; Chordata; Mammalia; Primates; Hominidae
Source: Ensembl
AGGCCGACAGGGGCAGAUCAUGAGGUCAGGAGAUCGAGACCAUUCUUGCUAACACGGUGAAACCCCGUCUCUACUAAAAAUACAAAAAAUUAGCCGGGCAUGGUGGCAUGUGCCUGUAGUCCCAGCUACAGCUACUCAGGAGGCUGAGGCAGGAGAAUCACUUGAACCCAGGAGGCAGAGCUUGCAGUGAGCCGAGAUCGUGCCACUGCACUCUAGCCUGGAUGACAGAGCGAGACUCUGUCUCAAAAAACAAAAAACAAAAAACAACAAAAAAAAAGAAUUGACAUGAUCAGAAAACAGGUAAUGAGAUAAGGAAAGAGAGGAGUACUGAGCUGUAGGCAGCCAAGGCCUGCAAACCAAGAGGGGAAGUUUCUGAGAUGGGGAAGAGACCCACAGUCACGGCCACUGGGAAUCCUGCUGAUCGGCAUUUGUGGGAAAUUUCGGGCAGUGGGUGCUCGUGCACAGACGUGGAUAAAGACAGAGAGAGGGCCAGGUGGGUGGUGCAUGCCUGUGAUCCCAGCACUUUGGGAGGCCGAGGCAGGUGGAUUGCUUGAGCUCAGGAGUUCGAGACCAUCCUGGUAACAUGGCAAAACCCUGUCUCUAUAAAAAUUACAAAAAUUAGCUGCAUGUGGUGGUGCAUGCCUGUAGUUCAUGCUACUUGGGAGGCUGAAGUGGGAGAAUUGUUCAAGCCCGGGAGGUGGAGGUUGCAGUGACCUGAGAUUGUGCCAUUGCACUCCAGCCUAGGUAAGAGUGAGACCCUGUCUCAAAUAGUAAUAAUAAUGAUAAAUAAAGACAAAGAGAGGCAGAGCAGGACAUAAUGAAAACCAUCUUUUGCAGAGUUCCUGUCUAUGCCAGGAGCUUUACAAGACUGUCUCUAAUCCUGACCCUUGCCCUGUGGAAGACAUACCCUAAUUCCCAAUUCCUGAUCAAGGAAACUAGCAGUGGUACUCACUGAAAUGAAGAUGGUAUAUGGAAAGGCGAUUCUUAUACUCAGAAGGAAAAGUUCCCAUGGAAGCCAUGGAUUCAUUCAUGACAAAGUUAGUUAAGAUUUCCUCUGGGACAAAGCACAUUAUUUAUGUUCUCCCUGACCUGAAAGAGCACAUGGAUUUGGUUUAUUCUUUCUUCUCCCACUGGCCUCCAAGAAUUCUUUAGAGGGCCUUGGCAUUUUCCAUUCCUCCAUUGGAUAUGAGUGCUGCGUUUUAAUGGUGGAGAGAACUCCAGGAGAGGAACCAUUGUUAUGAAAUCAAACCGAGACAGACAUCUGUUUGGAAGACUCAGGCUCAUCUCUCAUUUCCCCAAAGCACUUCAUCAAGGUUAAAUAAGAAAACAUUUGGCUUCUACUUUUAUGUCUUGAACUCCUAAAACUAUGUAAUCAUGUUUUUUUGAUAACUCGGGGCCAAGUAUGGAUCAGGUGUGUCUGUGUUACCUGGCCUGGCUGACGGGAAUGAUCAAGUUCAACACUUAAUUGUCAAGUUUCCCUUUGCCUUUGUGCUGUUUAGAUAGAAUUUCAGAGCUUGUAAAGGCCUAGCCAUAAAUAAAACAAGAUUGCAUGUGGGG